CGCCUCGUCCCCAUCCGCCCGCUCCCCUCCGUAUAGCCUUUGUUUUUCUCCGCCUCCGGGGGCCCUCCUCGGUGACCCCCGAAUGUCCGCCACUUGCCUCAGGCCCGCACCUCACACCUGUCAGGGCCCCGCCCUGUCCUGCCCAGUCCCAGCAGGAGAGACCUCGCCCGGUUCCUUGACACUUGGCCACUCCUGCCGCGCCCCCUACUGACCUCUGACCGCCGCUUGCGCCUCUGGACUACAGGGUAUCACCCUUCCCCCCAACCCUCCUUCACCCUUCACCGCUCAUGCACUCCAGGACCUAUCUUGCUCAGUCCCGGAGGAUUGACCGCGCUAGCUCUCGCUUCCCCAGACCCCGGCGCGCUCCUCUGCGCGUCCCCCACUUGCUGCCCCCUCACUCUUGCCCCUCGGUCCCCAGGGUUAACAGAGGUUCCCCCUCCCUCCUCCUAAACCCGCAGUCCCUUCCACUCCCUUCUCUGCUGCUGAGACUCUUCCUCCUCAUUAGCUUUCUAACGGCGGUUUUUGAGGAAUAGAAACACAAGACAAAAAGACCUAUUUCCUCUGUAAAAUGGGCAUGGAAGAUUAGUUUGGAGUUGCUCAAAUUAUGGGUAUAAAGUACAAUGCCAGCCACAGGUGUGCUGGAGGCCUAGACUGUGCAGUAAAGGAAAGAAGAUUGGAAAGAAAACUGUCUUAUUCAUAAGUGAGCAU
This is a long non-coding RNA of Bubalus bubalis (water buffalo), 708 nucleotides long. RefSeq lists it as uncharacterized. The transcript has 3 exons. The record is from RefSeq and is a predicted model, not a curated record. Lineage: Eukaryota; Metazoa; Chordata; Mammalia; Artiodactyla; Bovidae.